GGUGAAUAGUGCAAUAAGUAAUGUAUACUCUCAACUGUAUAGUGUCAAGAGUUAACAUUUUGCAUAUUUAUACAGAAAAUUUCCUACAAAGCCAAGCUGUCAUAAUCUUAUGUAAGUGAAUUAACAACAAUCUCUAAUAUUCAAUCUCUAAUAUUAAUAUGAUCUCCUAUCUGGACAAUAUUAAAAUUUUCCCAAUUAUCCCCCCCCCCACUUUUAUAGUGAUUUCUGCUUUUGUUUAAUUUUUUUAAAAACACAGAAUGCAUUCAAGUUUCCCAAAUUGCCCUUCCGUUGCAUUUUGGGCAACAAACCC
RNAcentral lists this long non-coding RNA (310 nucleotides) under Homo sapiens (human). RNAcentral describes it as "non-protein coding lnc-FGFR2-5:1". Lineage: Eukaryota; Metazoa; Chordata; Mammalia; Primates; Hominidae. The record is from RNAcentral.